Molecule: non-coding RNA, 36 nt
Filed under: Vibrio phage 1.139.B._10N.261.48.C6
Lineage: Duplodnaviria; Heunggongvirae; Uroviricota; Caudoviricetes; Zobellviridae
Source: RNAcentral
UACCAAACACCCCAGCCUACUAACCAGCCACCGGAG